This 89-nucleotide ribosomal RNA is filed under the name Escherichia coli. RNAcentral also lists the same sequence under 5 other names. Lineage: Bacteria; Pseudomonadati; Pseudomonadota; Gammaproteobacteria; Enterobacterales; Enterobacteriaceae. The record is from RNAcentral.
CCUGGCGGCAGUAGCGCGGUGGUCCCACCUGACCCCAUGCCGAACUCAGAAGUGAAACGCCGUAGCGCCGAUGGUAGUGUGGGGUCUCC